RNAcentral lists this long non-coding RNA (289 nucleotides) under Elaeis guineensis (African oil palm). RNAcentral describes it as "long non-coding RNA (EGUI_LNC020539)". Lineage: Eukaryota; Viridiplantae; Streptophyta; Magnoliopsida; Arecales; Arecaceae. The record is from RNAcentral.
UUGGAUGCCAACCAUAAGAAGCCUCUCCCUUUUGUGCGUGAAUAAGAUUUACCACCGAACAAGAGAGGAAAGAUUCUAGGUGUGCAUGAAAUUAAGUGAGGGGCAUCCCAUCUUGUUGUGAGGAAAAGGGCUAGGGUUCAUCCAAGGGUGGGUGUUUGGAAGAGAGAAAAAAAAAGAGAGAAAUAGUUUUUCUUUCUUCAUUUUCUAUCUCCACCUCAUCAUCCUCCAAGUCCUUCUUCACCUCCUAGAAGAGUCUGAGUGAUCUGAAGAAGGAGCUCGAUCAGCUGUC